This 244-nucleotide ribosomal RNA is filed under the name uncultured bacterium. RNAcentral describes it as "partial 16S ribosomal RNA". It matches the Rfam family "Bacterial small subunit ribosomal RNA", at positions 524 to 768 of the family's 1533-position model. The record is from RNAcentral.
UACGGAGGGGACUAGCGUUGUUCGGAAUUACUGGGCGUAAAGCGCACGUAGGCGGAUCUGUAAGUCAGGGGUGAAAUCCCGGGGCUCAACCUCGGAACUGCCUUUGAUACUGCAAAUCUCGAGUCCGGAAGAGGUGAGUGGAAUUCCUAGUGUAGAGGUGAAAUUCGUAGAUAUUAGGAAGAACACCAGUGGCGAAGGCGGCUCACUGGUCCGGUACUGACGCUGAGGUGCGAAGCGAGGGGAG